This 509-nucleotide ribosomal RNA is filed under the name uncultured Bacteroidales bacterium. Its description in RNAcentral is "bacterial SSU rRNA". It matches the Rfam family "Bacterial small subunit ribosomal RNA", at positions 8 to 507 of the family's 1533-position model. Lineage: Bacteria; Pseudomonadati; Bacteroidota; Bacteroidia; Bacteroidales. The record is from RNAcentral.
AGAGUUUGAUCCUGGCUCAGGAUGAACGCUAGCGGCAGGCUUAACACAUGCAAGUCGAGGGGCAUCGGGAGGAAAGCUUGCUUUCCUUGCCGGCGACCGGCGCACGGGUGAGUAACACGUAUGCAACCUGCCCUCUUCAGGGGGACAACCUUCCGAAAGGGAGGCUAAUCCCGCGUAUAUCGGUUUCGGGCAUCCGAGAUCGAGGAAAGAUUCAUCGGAAGAGGAUGGGCAUGCGGCGCAUUAGCUUGACGGCGGGGUAACGGCCCACCGUGGCGACGAUGCGUAGGGGUUCUGAGAGGAAGGUCCCCCACACUGGUACUGAGACACGGACCAGACUCCUACGGGAGGCAGCAGUGAGGAAUAUUGGUCAAUGGGAGAGAUCCUGAACCAGCCAAGCCGCGUGAGGGAGGACGGCCCUAUGGGUUGUAAACCUCUUUUGUCGGAGAACAAAACCCGGGACGUGUCCCGGACUGCGUGUAUCCGAAGAAAAAGCAUCGGCUAACUCCGUG